This 351-nucleotide RNase P RNA is filed under the name Candidatus Omnitrophica bacterium CG11_big_fil_rev_8_21_14_0_20_41_12. RNAcentral's name for it is "RNase P RNA component class A". It matches the Rfam family "Bacterial RNase P class A". From Rfam's summary of the family: Ribonuclease P (RNase P) is a ubiquitous endoribonuclease, found in archaea, bacteria and eukarya as well as chloroplasts and mitochondria. The record is from RNAcentral. Lineage: Bacteria; Pseudomonadati; Candidatus Omnitrophota.
GCAGGCAGAAUAUGGCUGCCCUAUUGUAAAAUAGGGAGGAAAGUCCGGGCUCCGGAGGAUAGUGUAACGGGUAAUCCCCGUCUCCUAAAGUGAUUUAGGACGGACCAGAGCCACAGAGACGAGUCCAGUUCUUGCACGCAAGAGCUGGGGUGAAACGAGGCAAUCUCUACAUGGAGCAAGGCAGAAUAGGAGACCAGCGCUGAUCCGGCGCGUUAGGAGUUUUUGGGUAUGCUGCUAAAGCUUGCGCGGUAACGCGCUCGUUGAGAGGAAUAGCCACUAAUCGAUGUCUGCCCGCAGGCUCUGCCCGCAGGCAGACAUCAAGACAGAACCCGGCUUAUUCUGCCUGCUUAU